CAGAUCAAGAGCAUCUCAUCCUCCGGCUGCUGAGUCAUCCUGCUCUGGCAGUUAUUUAAACAGAAGGCUCCAGGAGACAUACAAUCAACACUCCACUCAGACAAUGCCCAGACCUCCAGAAACCAUGUGUCAAGCUCGGAUUGCCUUAGACAGGUGCAAUUUAAGAACAGCUUUCAUCCUCUUUUCUCUCAUAUUGUCACACUAUGUGUUCUGACUUCUGGCUCCUUUCCUCACAAGAAGCUCACCCAGCUGGAACUCUUAUGGGACCUUGGCACCAGAGACCACAAAUUCCUCUUUGAAGUUUUCUAACAGCAACAAUGGUAUUUCUGACUUGGCUUUCUUGUAUUUCUCUCACGUUAACAAAAUUGGUUCAGCAUCUACCAUGGGCUACAUGCUGAGCUACAGAGUUUCGCUCUGUCGCCCAGGCUGGAGUGCAGUGGCGCGCGAUCUCGGUUCACUGCAAGCUCCACCUCCCGGGUUCACGCCAUUCUCCUGCCUCAGCCUCCUGAGUAGCUGGGACUACAGGCGCCCGCCACCACACCCAGGAAUCCAACUUGCUGUUUGCUAUCACAUGUGCUAUACAUGCUGUUGAUGAAACUGCUAAAGGGGCUGAAUGUGACUGACGUCUUUGGAAGGAUGAGACUUAGCGUGCCUGUACAGUUGUGUCCAAAUGCUGUCCUCAUCUCCCAAUGAAAAGGGUUUUUCCUUAAGCCUCACAACAAUUUACAGCAUUGCCAGCAGCAUUCAGUACAUUCAGAACAGGAUAAUUUCACCCGCAGCUGAACUAGGGCCAUGCCUGGGACAGACAGAGAAUGGCCUUCCAGCAGACAUGCCAAGAAGCAAGCCAGGGUCAGUGAGUGAAGAGGAGGGCAGGCCCAUUUGAAGCAACACAGUUUAUCAAGGAGUCUUUAGCAACAUGAAAACGAACGUGUGUUAUUUGCAAACCAAGUAUAUCAUUACUGAACCUGAAUAUCCUUACUUUUUCAUAAGAUACAUGAAAAGAAAGAAGGAGAGAAGGAAGAAAGGAGGGCGGAAGGAAAGGAAGAAGGGAGAGAAGAAGAGAAGAAAGAAGCAGAGAAAGGAAGAGAAAAGAAAUUACGGCCAGUGCGGUGGCUCACGCCUGUAAUCCUAGCACUUUGGGAGGCCUAAGCGGGCUGAUCACCUGAGGUCAGGAGUUCGUAAGCCAGCCUGGCCAACAUGGUGAAACCCUAUCUCUACUAAAAAUACAAAAAUCAGCAGGGCAUGGUGGUGCGUGCCUGUAAUCCCAGCUACCUGGGAGGCUGAGGUAGGAGAAUCGCUGGAACCCGAGAGGCGGAGGCUGCAGUGAGUUGAGAUCAUGUCACUGCACUCCAGGCUGGGCAACAGAGUGAGACUCUGUCUCAGAAAAAAAAAAAAAGAAAGAAAGAAAGAAAGAAAGUUACCAUUAGUUUUUUGUUGUAUUUGCAAGCAAAGACAAAAGCACCAAGGUACUUGUUUCCUUCUGUAAUUAGAGUUUCAAAUAGACUAAAAGUUUCUGCUCUUAGGUGGGUCUAGAGACUCUCCAGUACCUCAGGACCUCAGGACACAUGGGGUCUCUUGGUUGUUUUCUUUUCAUUGUUGUUGUUUAUUUUAUUUUUGUUUUUAUUUUUUAACUUUAAAACAAUUUUUUGUAGAUGAAUAUGCUUACAUAUGUUUGGGGGUUUUUUUGAGACAGGGUCUUGCUCUGUUGCCCAGGCUGGAGAGCGGUGGUUUAACCACAGCUCACUGCAGCCUCGACCUCCCAAGGUAGGGACUGCAGGUGUGUACACUGGGGUGCACCACCACACCCAGCUAAUUUUUAAAUUUUUUUUUGUAGAUAUUGUCUCACUCUGUUGGCCAGACUGGUCUUGAAAUCCUGGGCUCGAGCAAUUCUCCUGCCUCGGCCUCGUAACGCGUUAGGAUUACAAGCGUGAACACCGCACCUGGCCAGCAUGUGGUCUCUUAACCAGAGGAGGCCUCUUCUGAACUAGGUAGAGGUCCUGAGAAUUGAUUCUGAGAGUAAAAGGCUCUUUGUUCUCCUCAGAGUAGAUUAGAAUCCCUAAUGAUAGAGCAUCUAUUAUUCCUCUAGUGGUCCAUGCCCAACAGAUUCAUCCAAGAAUAGAUGAAGAUCUUUGUAAUGUUGUGCAAGUAAUCUAAUCACCCCACAGAAGAGCUGUGACUUAAAUUAUCCCAGAGUCGGCCCACCUGUUUUCAUAAAGAUCAAUGUAACUUGUAAAUUUCUUCAGUUCUCCUCACCUAUCAUCAUUUGACUAACAAAACCCAGAAAACUAGGCUAGUUAUGGUGGCCUAUGCAUAUAAUCCCAACUCUUUGAGAGGCCAGGGUGGGUGGAUUGCUUGAGUCCAGGAAUUCGAGACCAGCCUGGGCAACAAAGGGAGACCCUGCCUAUAUCCCAGCUAUGCAGGAGGCGAGGCCAGAGGAUUGCCUGAGCCUCAGAGGUUGAGGCUGUAGUGAGCCAUGAUUGCCCCACUACACUCCAGCCUGGAUGACAGAGUGAGACCCUGCCUUAAAAAUAAUAAUAAUAGUAAUAAUAUUUCAUAAAGAUACAGGAAACUAGAUUAUAAUUGACAUUUUCAAAGUGAAAUACUGUCUAGAAUGGUGCUUGGCCAACAGUAAGCUUUUUGUAAGUGGAAGUCAUUACUACUACUAUUUCUUUCAUUAUUAUUACCAUUACUACUUUUUUUUACAAAAAAAAAACCCUGGACAACACACUGAAACCAUUACUACUUCUACUACUAUAACUUAGGUUGCACCUGAUAGAGCCAGCAAUUUUUCCAAGGUAUGACAAUGGCCAUAUGUUUAAUGAUAUAAUUCUAUGGCUCAGUGUAUCUCAGCCUUUUUAAACCCUGCUCUUCUUUUGACAAUUGUAAAAAUCUUAAACUGACCUCCAGUUGAAAUCCUCUGUCAAGAAGAUAUUGUCGGCCAGGGGCGGUGGCUCACACCUGUAAUCCCAGCACUUUUGGAGGCCGAGGUGGGAGGAUCACUUGAGGUUAGGAGUUCAAGACCAGCCUGGCCAACAUAGUGAAACCCCAUCUCUACUAAAAAUACAAAAAUUAGGCAGGCAUGGUGGUGUGUGCCUGUAAUCCCAGCUACUCAGGAGGCUGAGGUAGGAGAAUUGCUUGAACCUGGCAGGGCAGAGGUUGCAGCAAGCCGAGAUCACGCCACUGCUCUCCAGCCUGGGUGAGACUGUCUCAAAAAAAAAAAAAAAAAAGAAAGAAAGUAAGAAAAAGAAGAAAUCCCAAUCUCUUCUUUUAUGUGGAUUCUUCCUCACUUGAAUAAUACUUUUCUUCCCCAGUAUUCUCCAUAUUAUCCCAGAGUCAGCCCCUCUGUUUUUGUAAAGAUCUACGUAACCUCCUCUAAGUUUCCCAGUUCUCCUCACCUAUCAUAUCAUUUGGCUCAACAAAGGGCAGGAAGCUAGAUUCUAAUUGAUAUUUUGAGGCCGGGAGCAGUGGCUCAUGCCUGUAAUCACAGCACUUUGGGAGGCUGAGGCGGGCAGAUCACUGGAGGUCAGGAGUUCGAGACCAGCCUGGCCAAUAUGGUGAAACCUCGUCUCUACUAAAAAUACAAAAAAUUAGCCAGGCUUGGUGGCUUGUACCUGUAAUCCCAGCUACUCAGGAGGCUGAGGCAGGAGAAUAGCUUAAACCUGGGAGGAAGAGGUUGCAGUGAGCCGAGAUUGCUCAAUUGCACCCCAGCCUGGGUGACAGAGCAAAACUCCAUCUCAAAAACAAACAAACGAACAAACCUGAUAUUUUCAAAAUUGAGGCAAUUAUAACAGCUAUUUAGCCAAGCAUUAUGAUAGCAAUAAUAGCAAGAAAAUAAAUUAGUUAACAAAUGAGUCUCAGAAGCCCAAUGAUUUUUAUUUUAUUUUUAUUUUUUGAACUUUUAUUUUAGAAUCAGGGGAUACAUGUGCAGGUUUGUUACCCGGGUAUAUUGCAUGAUGCUGAGUUUUGGAGUAUGCAUGAAUCCAACCUGUCAUCCAGGUAGUGAGUAUAGUACCCAACAGAUAGUUUUUUUAACAUUUACUUCACUCCCUUCCCCAAUCUUGUAUUCCCCUGUGUCUACUGUUCCCAUUUUUAUGACUGUGCCAACAAUAAUUUUUUUUCUUUUUUCUUUAAAUAGAGAUGGGGGUCUCUAUUUAAAGAGCCUCCCAAAGUGCUAGGAUUACAGGUGUGAUCCAUUGCACCUGGCCCAUGCCAACAAUAUUUGAAACCCUUAUCUGCGUGUACAAGUUUGCUACUGGUUUUGUUUUGCUCAUUAAUACAUCCCAAGCAUCUAUACCUGGCUUGUAGUACCAGCAUGUAGUAGGUGCUUAAUAAAUAUUUAUUGAAUAAAUAAAUUAGUUUGACAUUAGUUUAACAUCUCAAGUAAAACAAAAUACCAUUCAAUUAAUUCUCUUCUUCUACUUUUUUCUUUUAAGAGAGACAAAUAGUCACACAUACAUCAGCAGGAGAGGAUACAAUUUCCUGUGUUUAAGUUUUUAUGAGUUACUUUAGUUCAAAUGUCACAGAAAAUUAUAUUGAACUCUUGACCAAUCUAUCUAUUUUUUCCAUUGGAGUAUUGACCCAAAUAAGAAAUAGCAUAAAGGAAAAAUUAUUUUUUGGCAGAAAAAUAUUCUCUCUAAAUUCUUGUGUGUUUUGUUUUGAUUUUUUCCUUAGUGACUGGAGGCCAGUUUCAAUCCACUGAAGCACAGAUUCCAAAUUUUCAAUCUGGUUUUCUUGAGUAGUGACUGAGUGCCAAAAAUGAAGCAAUGACACAACAUCACCAUCAAGACACUCCCCAGCACGCACACACAUGCCAGAGUCCAACACCAAGAUACUCCCCAGCACGCACACACACGCCAGAGUCCAGGCCAUAUUCGGGUGGCUUGCAAGCUUCUUCCCCCCAAGUAUUUACUCUCAAAAUAAUGGUUUUUGUUUUGUUUUGGUUUGGUUUGGUUUGUUUUUUUCCAAAUACAUUUCUUCCCUAUAUCUUUAACCAAUUCUCAUAAAAUUUUGUCUAAUACACUGGUCAGUGUAUUCCAGACCCUAAAAGAUAACAUAAUGAAACUAUCUAUGACUAAAAGGUAAUCAGGAUCUUCUACUUAUCCUUUUUUCCUCCCUCUUAAACUUUAAUUUUGAUACAUUUGGGAGUGAAAUGAUGACAAUAAAUGCAAAGUAAUUAUUGAAGAAACAGUAAUUUUGUAUUAGCUUACUGAAAAAAAAAAAAAAGAUAACCAAAUAUAUUUUGGCAGCCCCAAACGAGUCACAUGUGAAAUGCAGUGGGAGAGCAGUGUCCUGAAGGAAAAGGUGGCCUGCUGGACAGCCAAGAGAACAAACAUCCACUGCAAGUAAUAUGAGCUCUAAGUUUGGACUAGGCCUAUGUCUGCUCUGAGACUUGGGGCAAUUCACUUAAUCAGAGCCUUAAUCAGCUACGGACUAGCAAUAUCCAUACCCGCUACUUAUUUUGUAAAUCUCCUUUCUAAAGUUAACUCUAUUUAUUGUUCCAUAAUCCCAUAAAUUCUAGAAUCUUUUCCUGUUAUAGCCAAGUUGUCUAUCAUUGACAGAGAUAUUCACCUGGUUGUUUUGGCUUCUCUAAUCCUCCUGGUGAGAACACCUCCAAGGGAGCUUUCAGUGGCAUUUAAGGUCACUUGUGCUCUUGGUCCUAGAAACUGCCUUGAUAGUGGUUUUAGCUCACAUGAGGUAAGUCUUUAUUAUAUGCCCAACCUCUUUAUGCAUUACUUCAUUUAAUUGUAUACUAAUCCUUUGUCAUAGGUUAUCAGAGUGUUUGAUUAUAAGUUACAGGAAGAAAAAAAAAAACAAACUCCAAUUGACUAAAACAAUGGGGCAUUUUUUGACUCACAUAACAGAGAGUCUAGAGAGAAGGCACCUUCAGGUUUGGCUGAUGAAUCCUGUAUCUCUGCCUUGUCUCCAGGCCCCCAGGUUCUGCCUCUGUCCUGACAUCCAGUGUUGGAUUCCUCUUCACAUCAACUCCUCUCUGUAGGUUGGGCCAUCAGACCCUACCUCCUUAUUUAUGUUGAGCAAAGGAGAGAGAAUGCCUCUACAAACAAUGAAAAAAGUGAAAAAAAAAAUCUUUCUCCUCCUUAUAACUUUAGUUAGCUUAACUUUAGUCAGUUGCUUAGCUACUAAACAGUAGCUAUUGGGAGGUGGGAAGGAAUACUAUUGUGUAAUCAACUAAGGCUCAUACAGAGGAUUAGGGUUAUCUGAAUUGAUUUGAAUUAAUUAGAAUUUACUCUCAGAGCUGUGGCAAUUCCUUGAACCACACUGAUUGCUAUAAAGUGGAAGAGGAAUAGAUUGAAUUUUGGGGAGUCAACUACAAUGUGUACUACAGGAACAAAACCCAUCAGAAGAUGUCAGAAGAUAAGGAUUUUUGUCCUGAUGCUACACUUACCAGCUGUCCCUCAGUGUUCUACUUCUUAAAAAAAGAGAGAUGGAUAAACAGAGGCAACCCGAGGAUAAAGGCCUUGCUCAGUGUCACACAUUUCAGUCACUAAAUAAGACACAAUGGAUGCCAGUAUUCUCAUCCCCUCACAAAUAAAGAGCCUUCAAGCUCUUGCAGUCAACAAGAACUUUUGGAAUGAUUUCACUGCCUGAAAAGGCAGAUACAUAGGUGACACCCACAAAUAGGAAGAAAAUCAACCUGAACCUGAGUGUGUGGGCUCACUGACUCUAAGCAGUAGAGACAGAAGAAAAAGUUUUAGCAAAGAAGGGUUCUGAAAGAAAAUAAAUAUAGCUCGUUAUCAAGUGCUGUUUUUACACAGUAAAACAUGGGCAAAAUUACUCUUCUUUAAGUAGUAAUUCUUAUCUCUUGAUUAAGUCACCUACUCAUUCAUUUAAUAAAUACAUACUGAUUGUUUUCUAUGUGUUGAGCACUCAUCUCUGUAUUGGAAAUAUAAUAAUGACCAAAGUUGACAAUAGUAAUAACAAUAAUAGCUAAUAUAGCAGGCACUAAUAAUUAUUUGUUGAGUAAUAUGUCAAAAUUCAGUGUGAACAGCAUUCUAUUUGGGGCUGCAUCCACUGACUAUAACACAGCUAAUCUAUCUGAAAUGUUCCAGCUUUGGGCCUCUCUAACAGAAGAAGCUGUUGUUGGGCCUGCCUCUAGUUGGCGAUGCAUCCACCAAUGAGAAUGAAUUUAUGAUCGACCACUCUUCCUGUAAAGGCCGCUGGAACUGACAGCAUUGUGAUUUUCUUUUACUGUUAGUUUUAAAUUACUAGAACCAACUCAAUUACUAGAACGAACUUUACUUCUUUGUUUCCUACUUAUCAAAACAGUAAAAACAACAAGUAAAAGAAAUGCCAUCUUAAUAUUGUUUUGAUGACAAAACAGUAUUCCUUUUAGUUGUGCUUCAAAUGGAAUAAGAUGCAAACAGGCUUGGUAUGGUGGCUCACCCCUGUAAUCCCAGCCCUUUGGGAGGCCAAGGUGGAAGGAUUGCUUGAGGCCAUGAGUUUGAGACCAGCCUGCGCAACAUAGCAAGACCGUGUCUCUACAAAAAAUAAAAAAUUAGCUGAGUGUAGUGGUGUGUGCUUGUGGUCCCAGCUACUUUUGAGGCUGAGGAGGGAGAAUCUCUUGAGCCCAGAAGGUCGAAGUUGCAGUGAGCCGUGAUCGUGCCAUUGCUCUCCAGCUUGGACAACAAAGCAAGACCCUAUGUCAAAAAAUAAAUAAAUAAAAGACAUAAACAUAUCUGAGAUUAACUUUCAGUGGUAAAUUUGUUCCAUAUAUGAUUUUUAAGGUUAAAUGCUUUGGAAGCUUUAAAAACCAUUUCAGCCCUUUUAAAUGCCAACUUACACUGAUGAUGCUCUCAGAUGUUAGGAAAUCUUUUGAGCAGAAAAUGGAAGUGGGGGUGUUGAGGCAGGGAGGAGAGUGAUGCAAUAUUCCUUAGUGUCAUCCUGUGAUUUCACAAUUUGUUUUUCAAUCUGUUUGGACUUUCAAAAGGGAAGACUCUCAUAUGUCAACAAGCCCAUGAACUGAAGCUUAAAACACUGGAAACAACAACUGUAGAGUUUCAAGUAUAUGUACAUUUAUGUAUUCAUGUUCCUUGAUGGGAAUGCUGGCUGGUGUGAAUGUUCAAUCUCCUGAGAAAUGUAAAUUUUUCUCUGACAGAUUUAUUAGCUUGCUGUAUCUGAGCACAUGAGCAAAAACAAUGCCUAAUAAGAAAACUUUCUCUCUCCUUCAAAGUCAAACUUGGGAGAAAUGAAGGGAAAUCGAGUUUUCUUUGCUUGACAGUGUUCAACAUUCUUGUAGUCAGUGUGCUCAUGAAGAUUGCAAACUUUUUUUUUUUUUUAGAGCAGCUAGGACUACAGGCGCGCACCACCACACCCAGCUAAUUUGUGUAUUUUUAGUAGAGAUGGGGUUUUAACUAUGUUGGCCAAGCUUGUCUCAAACUCCUGACCUCAAGUGAUCCAUUCGACAGCUCUUUCUUUUUUUUUUUUUUUUUUGAGACAAAGUCUCGCUCUGUCACCCAGGCUGGAGUGCAGUGGUAUGAUCUCAGCUCACUGCAACCUCCGCCUCCUGGGUUCAAGCAAUUCUCAUGCCUUAGCCUCCCGAAU
Molecule: long non-coding RNA, 8559 nt
Filed under: Homo sapiens (human)
Lineage: Eukaryota; Metazoa; Chordata; Mammalia; Primates; Hominidae
Description: HSALNT0091275
Source: RNAcentral